UUGUAUUGUUUUGUGGUGUUUGCCUGUGU
Molecule: non-coding RNA, 29 nt
Filed under: Mus musculus (house mouse)
Lineage: Eukaryota; Metazoa; Chordata; Mammalia; Rodentia; Muridae
Source: RNAcentral